GAGGUCCUAGUAAACUAAUUAUAUAGCCCUGUCAGAGCUAAGUAACAGGUCAAAACCCCGUGGACUUUA
Molecule: transfer RNA, 69 nt
Filed under: Tropidophorus hangnam
Lineage: Eukaryota; Metazoa; Chordata; Lepidosauria; Squamata; Scincidae
Description: tRNA-Asp
Source: RNAcentral